CCGAGUUUACAACUCCCAAACCCCUGUGAACAUACCUGUCGUUGCUUCGGCGGUCUCGCCCCGGCGCCCUCGUGCCCGGAACCAGGCGCCCGCCGGAGGCCUGAAAACCAUGAAUUUUGCUGAGCUCGUCUGAGUGGUACUAGCAGAAAUGCAAUCA
This 157-nucleotide unclassified non-coding RNA is filed under the name uncultured Hypocreales. RNAcentral's name for it is "sequence contains ITS1". Lineage: Eukaryota; Fungi; Ascomycota; Sordariomycetes; Hypocreales. The record is from RNAcentral.